AAAUUGAAGAGUUUGAUCAUGGCUCAGAUUGAACGCUGGCGGCAGGCCUAACACAUGCAAGUCGAACGGUAGCACAGAGAGCUUGCUCUCGGGUGACGAGUGGCGGACGGGUGAGUAAUGUCUGGGAAACUGCCUGAUGGAGGGGGAUAACUACUGGAAACGGUGGCUAAUACCGCAUAAUGUCGCAAGACCAAAGAGGGGGACCUUCGGGCCUCUUGCCAUCAGAUGUGCCCAGAUGGGAUUAGCUAGUUGGUGAGGUAACGGCUCACCAAGGCGACGAUCCCUAGCUGGUCUGAGAGGAUGACCAGCCACACUGGAACUGAGACACGGUCCAGACUCCUACGGGAGGCAGCAGUGGGGAAUAUUGCACAAUGGGCGCAAGCCUGAUGCAGCCAUGCCGCGUGUAUGAAGAAGGCCUUCGGGUUGUAAAGUACUUUCAGCGGGGAGGAAGGUGUUGUGGUUAAUAACCUCAGCAAUUGACGUUACCCGCAGAAGAAGCACCGGCUAACUCCGUGCCAGCAGCCGCGGUAAUACGGAGGGUGCAAG
Molecule: ribosomal RNA, 546 nt
Filed under: Salmonella enterica
Lineage: Bacteria; Pseudomonadati; Pseudomonadota; Gammaproteobacteria; Enterobacterales; Enterobacteriaceae
Description: bacterial SSU rRNA
Rfam family: Bacterial small subunit ribosomal RNA
Source: RNAcentral